CGAGAUUUCAAGGCUUCUUAGGACUUAUCUUUUAAUUUCUUACUGUCAAUUCUUUCUUUAUUUCUACUUGUGUUGAAUCAUUAUCUAAUCUAUUUUCUGUUCUUAUUGUGUUUUCAGCCUUUUUCUAUCUUAAGGAAUCAGCCCAAAAAUCCCCAAUUUCUAGGGUUUUUCCAUACUCUUUUUGGGUGAAAUUAGAUUGUCGAAAUUUGGGAAAAACUAUCUUGGUGUUCAAUUGGGCAGAAUCACAAUCUCCUUGAGGGUUUCAAGAACCCUAACACUUAUUUCUAUUCUCAAUUUGAUUCUUUACUGAUUUGGGGAUUUUAUUUCAGAUCUGAAAAUUCAAAAAUCUAAUCUUUUUAAUUUUCUGUUUCGUUUCAGAUCUAAUUGUUUAGGGUUUUCGUAGGAGUUUCUCGUGACUUGGCAACUCGAUCUUGGUCCGCGCGCAACCCCGUAUCAAAACUACUACAAAUUUACCCAAAUGUAGCCUCAAAACAUGAUUCAUUAAUCUCAUAAAUGUACUAGGUACAUUAGUAAGGCCGAAAGGCAUAACUAACCAUUCAUACAAUCCACAUUUUGUUUUAAAAGCUGUUUUCCAUUCAUCCCCUUCCCUCAUUCGAAUUUGAUGAUAACCGCUUUUUAAAUCAAUUUUUGUAAAUAUUAUUGAACCAUGUAAUUCAUCAAGCAUAUCAUCAAGUCUAGGGAUUGGGUGUCGAUACUUUACCGUUAUCUUAUUGAUUGGGCGACAAUCAACACACAUACGAAACGUACCAUCUUUCUUUGGCACCAAUAAGACAGGAACAGCACAAGGACUUAGGCUCUCACGAAUGUACCCUUUGUCUAGUAAUUCCUCCACUUGCCUUUGCAAUUCCUUUGUCUCCUCGGGAUUGCAUCUAUAGGCUGGUCGAUUUGGGAUUGAAGCUCCGGGUACUAAGUCAAUUUGAUGUUCUAUCCCUCGUAAAGGUGGUAAACCUUUAGGGGCCUCACUAAAAACAUCAUCAUAAUCCUGCAAAAGAGAUUGAAACACACUAGGCAAAUUUUCGUUAAUGUUAGAUAAAGAUAAAUAAUUUUGCCUAAACCUCACAAGGAUACAAGGCUGUUUAUUAAGUAGGGCUCUCUUCACAUCUUUUUUUGUUGCCAAAAGAUUUUUUCCGCUCAUUUUACCACUAGAGGAUUCACUCACCUUUGGGCUUUUUAAAUUUUGACUUUUUCCACUACUAUUAGCCUCUUUUCUCUCUGUCUUUUGUACUUGCUCUUUCUCCCUUACCCCCUCACAAAAUUUUAUCAUCCUCAAUUGAUCUUUAUAUACAUCAGUAGGAUUUAAAGGAGCAAAAGUGAAUUUCUUGCCUUUAAAUACAAGGGAGUAUUGAUUAAGUUUACCUUGGUGUGUAACAUCGCGAUCAAAUUGCCAAGGUCGUCCAAGGAGCAAGUGUGCCGCAUGCAUGGGGACUACAUCACACCAUACGUCAUCCUCAUAAUUGCCGAGUUUAAAAGUGACCAAGGACUGUUUCGUAACUUUAACUUCGGAACAUUCAUUAAGCCACUGAAGGUGAUAUGGCUUAGGGUGUUUGGUACAAGGCAACUUUAAAGAAUCCACCAAAUAACUACUCACUACAUUCGAGCAACUCCCACUAUCAAUAAUGAGUGAACAUAAGUUACCUUUAAUAAAACACCGAGAAUGGAAAAUAUUGGUCCUUUGGCUCUCAUCAUCUUUUAUCUGAAUGUUAAGGGUUCGACGAACUACAAGGCAUUGAAAAUUAGCAAAGUCCCCUUCCUUUGGUGGUUCGACCAACUCGUCGCCAUUAUCACUGUCAUCCACAAGUUCUGGCAUAUCUGGAUCUGUAUUAUCAGAGUCAGAAGUGUACUCACCGUUAUCUUUUAGAAGAAGUAAUCUCGUGUUAGGGCAUUCUCUACUAUAAUGACCACGCCCUUUGCACUUAAAGCAUUCAAUCUCACGAGUCCUCUUCGCACUCGAAUCACCUAAAUUGGGCUGCUUAGAAGGUGUUUGCGUUUUUGCAGGAGCCCCUUUUUUCCAAUCUGAUUGUUUACUUCCAUUACUCAAAGAAGACUUGUUAGUAACAAAAGGUGGUUUUGAACUCUUAAAAUCAGAAUUGGAAUUGUUACCUCGAUAAUAUUGUGAAGUAGAUAAGGACCCAAACCUUUGUUCCUUUAAUUGUUGCUCGAUCUCAAUGGCUUUAUGAACUGCUUCUUCCAAAUCAAUGUAAGUUUGUAGCCUCAAUGUAUUAGCUAUCGGCCUGUUCAAACCAUCAAUGAAUCGAACCAUAGUUGUUUCUUCAUCUUCCUCCACAUUAGCUCUCUGAAUGAGCAUCUCCAUCUCUUUAAAAUAUUCAUCCACCGUCCUACUACCUUGGAUAAGUCUUCUCAACUUUGUUUUAAUUUCUCUAUAGUAGUGAGGUGGAAUAAACCUUUUACGCAUAAUCUGUUUCAACUCAUCCCAUGUCGAAAUCUCACCUUCAUAAUUCCGAUGGCGGUUUACCCCAAGUUGAGUCCACCAACUUAAUGCAUAAUCAGAAAAUUCCAGUGUUGCUAACGCUACCUUUUCAUCAUCCGGACAUUUAUAAUACCGAAACAUGAGUUCAAUCUUAGAUUCCCAUUCACAAUAAGCGUCAGGAUCGUUCUUACCACGAAAUUGGGGAAUUGUGAAUUUCGGUUUUGCCAAAGAAGGUUGUCCGCGAUCAUGAAAAUCAUCAUCCAUUCUAGGGACACAUCGAGGGCCGCGCCUAUGGGGCUGGUUAUUCCUAUCUUCCCUGAUUGGAUCUCGAGAUUGAAGUUCUUGAUUCAUUCAUACCUCAUUCAAAGUAGUAUUCAAUGCUUGAAGGGUAGCAUUUAUUUGUGUGAUUGCAGCAGCGUGUCCUUCUAACUGUUGUUGGACUUCCAUAAGUGUAUCAUUAUGGUCAUCUUUAGACAUCUUCCAAAAAAGCUGCAAAAAUAAACACUCAACACUCAAAAAUAAAAGUUAUCAAACCUCACCGUUAAUCACUCAAAAAGAAAAAAUCAAAUUCUCAAUGAGGUCAAAUUCAAUCUUGUGAGUUCUUUAUCAGAGUUUAUAUCAACCAAUUAGAGAGUGUGAACCAAACUACCAAAGAAUCCUAAUUUGCACUAGGAUGCCAAAAACUGACGAGACACCAAUUGAUUCGUGUUGCACCGAGGAAGAAGUUGUGCACACGUUUAAAUCCUAAUAACACAAGAAACAAGAAGGUGUUAGAUAACGUAAAGGAAGAAUAAAGGUAAACAAAUGAAAACCUACAGCUAAGAAUCAAUAAAAAUUGCUGAAAACAGAAAACCCGAAAACUGCGGAGUAACUUGACAACUUCGUUCGAGGUGUUCCCGAUCUCCAAAAAUUACAAAAUUAAAUCUGGAGUGUCCUUUUAUAUUGAAUUUUUUAUCUGGAAAUUUUGGGCACCAAAUUCAACUCGCUGAAUCUUUUUUUAAAUUUUUAUUUAAUUUCGUAUUUUUUGAUUUUUUUGACUGAUUUUUUUGCGGGAAUAAUUUUUUUAUAUUCAAUCACAGUGCCAAAAACAUGUAUGUAAAAUUUCAGAUCAAUCGGACAAUUUUUACCCACUCAAAUGAAUUUUUUUAACAAUUUUUCUGGGUAAAACUGCUGUUUAUGCUUUAAAAAAAUAGAGAUCAGUUUAGAAAUCAACCAAGAACACCCAAAACGCCCAAAAUCUGAUACCAAAUGAUAUAGAAUGCGCGUGGACCAAGAUCGAGUUGCCAAGUCACGAGAAACUCACCUUAGUGCCGCUCACUCCGGAACAAGUCCAUGAGGACCAAAUCAAACUGAAAAAUUCUGUUAAAACAAGUGAGGAAAAAGAAAAAGAGAAUGAAAAAGAGCAAAAAGAGAUUGAGAGUGAAAAAGAAAUUGAAGAAAGAAGAGAAAAUGAAUUAGAAAAAGAAACAAAAGAAAAAGACGUGGAAAGGGUAGUGAGGAAUGUUUCCACUAACCAAGAUAUGAAUUUUUCUUGUGUUGCUACUUUUCAGGUUCCCGAAAGAUUGAAAGAUAACUUUCAACUUCAAUACCUCUCAAAUGAAAGACGCUUUCAUACGAUCAACUUAGGCAAAGAUGAAAUCACACUACAUGAUCCCGAAGGUAAGCGAGGUAAGGAAAUUUUAGAAACCGAGUCCAGUGCAGAUUUGAAAAUUAUUGAUAAAACUUUCGGUGACUUAGUUCUUAAAAGAUGCCCUCAUUUUGAUCCGAUUAAUUGUUACACUUCGAUUGUGGUUGAUAAAGUCAUUACGAAAAGAAGCGUGAUUUGUUAUUCUCUUGAUUUACCUUGUGUAAAAUCCUCGAAUUUGUCCAAAUCAGUUUUGGAGAAUAAGGUAACGAAAUUUUCCAAAUUUGUUUUCAUUUUAUAUUCGUGCCUUAAACAGUUUAUGUGGUUGUACAUGAAGUUUGAGUUCCAUUUGACAAAGGUUAACUCAACAACAGAGAUUCGACUACACUAUGCCCCCGAUGAGCGAAGGUUUGUUUUAAAUGAAAAAGGUAAAAUCGACCCUUAUUCUUUUGCUUAUCAAGGUAAGAUGCUUGAAACCUUUGAAACACUUUUGUACUCCUCGGUUAGCGACAAAGAUUGUGUUGAUGAACACUUAGAUCGAAAUGUGCUUGACUGUCCUAUUUUAUUUAUUGAUGAUAAAUCUAUUUUGAUGGUUGAUAAAAAGAUUCUUGUUUUUGAUAAUGCAUGUGUGAGUGAAUCUAUAGACCGUUAAUUAAGGCUUGGUAAUCUGAAUCUGUCCAUUCACAUGCGUUAUAACUGUUCUAUUAUGCUUAUAAUUGGACUACAAACUUGUUUGCGUUGCUAUUUACUAUUUCAUGGCUAUUCUUUUCAGUGGACUCAAUUGCCAUUAGUCCCGUUCGAUCGAGGAAAGUCGAGUUCAUUUGAUUUUUUAGAUUCGAGGACGAAUCUUUUUGAGGAAGGGGGGAAUGAUACGAGUCAUAAAGGCCCAAUCCAAGUUCAAGAACGUGAUGGGCUGAAAUUGCCACAAGGCCCAAUAACGAGAUCAAAGGCCCGACAAAUGCGGUCCAAACUAAAUGGGACCAUUCAAGAGCUUGUUAGCAAGGCCUUAGAUUCAUACACGAGAGAACAAGAAAAUUAAGAUUCACUUUCUUGUUUUCAAGAAAAUCAAGAAAUCGAAUCUUGGCCCAAUUUUGCUGUUCGAAGAGAUUUCAAGAAUCAAGAAAAUCAAGAUUUCAAAUCUUGGAAAUCUUGGUCCAAGAAACCAAAUCUUGCAGCCAAAAUGCAUUGGAUCUCCAGUAUGAGCGUCAACGACCCAAUUUUGGUAGGAGAUGGAUCACGAGCCCAAAUUCUUGAAAGCGAGGCCCAAUAACCAAAAUCCAGCCCAAUCAAGAAAUUUCUUCAUACUUAGUUGAAAAUCAGGCCAAAAUGUCAAAGGGUCCAAUUCGUAAACAUCCUACUUGUUUAAUUUAAUUUUUUAAUCUUUAGGAGCAUUACAUGUAAAAUUCGGCCCAAAACAGCCCAUAUAAGUGCAUGGCCGAAUUUACCUUGUUAUUUUAUUAAUUAGGUUUAAUUUUUAUUAGUUACUUGUGAGAUUAGGAUUUGUUGGAGGCCUAUAUAAGCAUUGGCCAGCCACCCUUUGUAAAAACAUCUUAUUAUUAUUAUUUUCUAUCAAAUUUCAGAUUUGUUGAGUGCAGAAUUUUCUUUGGGGUUUUCUCCAAGAAUUAUCUCUUGAGUUUUCUUUAGAAGUUGUUUUAACAAUCUUUUGAUUGUGGGAGCCAUCUUCAACCUUCUUCUUGCCAUCGAUAUUCUUUGGAGGGGAGAUUAGAGCCGUUCGAAGAGAUUUGUGAAAUCUUUCGGGAUUUCAAGGAUCUUUAGGACUUAUCCUUUAAUUCUUGCUGUUUUCGAUUUCUUUCUUUACUUUUCUUUGCUUAUACUUGUGCCGAUUUCUCAUCUAAUAUUUUGUUGUUCUUGUUUGUUUUCCAGCAUUGAUUAAACUCAAUAUCUCAUCGUUUAAGUUGUUCUCCUAUUGGCAGCACCCAUUCGAACCCAAAAAUCUACAAUUCCUAGGGUUUGGCCGAUUGGAUUUCUUUCAAUUUGGGAAUCAAUUGAUUGCUGGAAAUUGGGCAUUCUUGGCCGAAUCAAUUCUUUGGCAGAUUCGCAUCUUUUCUUUCUUCUCAAUUUCGUUUGAUUCAUCGAUUCUAUUUCUUUUCUUCUUGCUGCUCUUUUGAUUGAAUUUGGGAAUUUUAAAUUCAAAUCUGAUUCAGUUUAAUCUUAAUCUUUGUUUUUGAUUUCAGAUCUGUUCGUCUAGGAUCUUUCGUAGGAGUUUCUCGUGACUUGGUAACUCGAUCUUGGUCCGCGCGCAAUCCUAUAUCAUUAAUGAUACGAGUCAUAAAGGCCCAAUCCAAGUUCAAGAAUGUGAUGGGCUCAAAUUGCCACAAGGCCCAAUAACAAGAUCAAAGGCCCGGCAAAUGCGGUCCAAACUAAAUGGGACCAUUCAAGAACUUGUUAGCAAGGCCUUAGAUGCAUACACGAGAGAACAAGAAAAUCAAGAUUCACUUUCUUGUUUUCAAGAAAAUCAAGAAACCGAAUCUUGGCCCAAUUUUGCUGUUCGAAGAGAUUUCAAGAAUCAAGAAAAUCAAGAUUUCAAAUCUUGGAAAUCUUGGUCCAAGAAACCAAAUCUUGCAGCCAAAACGCAUUGGAUCUCCAUUACGAGCGUCAACGACCCAAUUUUGGUAGGAGAUGGAUCACGAGCCCAAAUUCUUGAAGGCGAGGCCCAAUAACCAAAAUUUAGCGCAAUCAAGAAAUUUCUUCAUACUUAGUUGAAAAUCAGGCCAAAAUGUCAAAGGGCCCAAUUCGUAAACAUCCUACUUGUUUAAUUUAAUUUUUUAAUCUUUAGGAGCAUUACAUGUAAAAGUCGGCCCAAAACAGCCCAUAUAAGUGCAUGGCCGAAUUUACCUUGUUAUUUUAUUAAUUAGGUUUAAUUUUUAUUAGUUACUUGUGAGAUUAGGAUUUUUUGGAGGCCUAUAUAAGCAUUGGCCAGCCACCCUUUGUAAAAACAUCUUAUUAUUAUUUUUUCUAUCAAAUUUCAGAUUUGUUGAGUGCAGAAUUUUCUUUGGGGUUUUCUCCAAGAAUUCUCUCUUGAGUUUUCUUUAGAAGUUGUUUUAACAAUCUUUUGAUUGUGGGAGCCAUCUUCAACCUUCUUCUUGCCAUCGAUAUUCCUUGGAGGGGAGAUUAGAGCCGUUUGAAGGAAUUUGUGAAUUCUUUCAGGAAUUCAAGGGUUCUUAGGACUUUUCUUUAUUUCUUGCUGUUUCGAUUUGUUUCUUUAUUCCUACUUGUGCCGAUUCAUCAUCUAAUAAUUUGCUGUUCUUGUUUGUGUUUCAGCCUUGAUUCAAACUCCAAGAACUCUUCAUUUAAUCGGUUCUUUUAUUGGCAACAUAUAAUCGACUCAAAAUUCUCCAAAAUUUAGGGUUCUUGCCGUUUUCUAUUUCUUCUUGUUGGGUGAAAUUCGGCUGCUAAAAUUUGGGCAAUUCAUAUUGGGUGUUCAAUUGGACCGAAUCGCAACUUAAAUUCACUUCUUGAACCCGUCAAUUUCAUCUAUUUCUUUCUUUUCUUUUGCCGUCCAAAUCCCUAAUUUUCCAAUUAAAAAUCUGAUUGUUUCAAUCUACUUACUGUUUUGGUGUUCUUGGCAGAUUCGGCUUGUGGGAUUUCACUAUUGGAGUUCGAUUUCAUCUUCUUGAACUCCGAAUACAUUUAUUCAUUCGUUCUUUGUUCCUUGCUGCUCAUUAAUUGAAUUUGGGGAUUUAAUUUCAGAUCUGAUUAGUUUAAUCUUGUUCUUUGUUUUAAUUUUCAGAUCUGUUCGUUUAGAGCUUUCGUAGGAGUUUCUUUUCUUUUGCCGUCCAAAUCCCUAAUUUUCCAAUUAAAAAUCUGAUUGUUUCAAUCUACUUACUGUUUUGGUGUUCUUGGCAGCUUCGGCUUGUGGGAGUUCAUUCUUGGGAAUCAAUUUCGUGUUCUUGGUUUCAAGAAACCUCUUUCAUAAGUGUUUCGUUCCUUGAUUAGAUCUUGCUGAUUUUUAGGGUUCUUAUUCCAGAUUUUAAUUUUCCAGAUUUAAUCUCAUUCUUUGUUUGAUUUCAGAUCUGUUCGUUUAGAGCUUUCGUAGGAGUUUCCCGUGACUUGACGACUCGAUCUUGGUCCGCGCGCAAUGCUAUAUCAUUUGGUAUCAGAUUUUGGGCGUUUUGGGUGUUCUUGGUUGAUUUCUAAACUGAUCUCUAUUUUUUAAAGCAUAAACAGCAGUUUUACCCAGAAAAAUUGUUCAAAAAAAAUUCAUUUGAGUGGGUAAACGUUGUCCUAUUGAUCUGAAAUUUUACAUAAAUGUUUUUGGCACUGUGAUUGAAUAUAAAAAAAUUAUUCCCGCAAAAAAAAUCAGUCAAAAAAGUCAAAAAAAUCAAAAAAUACGAAAUUCAAUAAAAAUUUAAAAAAAGAUUCAGCGGGUUGAAUUUGGUGCCCAAAAUUUCCAGAUCGAAAAUUCAAUAUAUAAGGACACUCCAGAUUUAAUUUCGUGAUUUUUGAAGAUCGGGAACACCUCGAACGAAGUUGUCAAGUUACUCCGCAGUUUUUCAGGUUUUCUGUUUUCAGCAAUUUUUAUUGAUUCUUAGCUGUAGGUUUUCAUUUGUUUACUUUUUAUUCUCCUUUUACAAUAUCUAACACCUUCUUGUUUCUUGUGUUAGUAGGAUUUAAACGUGUGCACAAUCCUUCCUCGGUGCAACACGAAUCACUUGGUGUCUCGUCAGUUUUUGGCAUCCUAGUGCAAAUUAGGAUUCUUUGGUAGUUUGGUUCACACUCUCUAAUUGGUUGAUAUAAACUCUGAUAAAGAACUCACAAGAUUGAAUUCGACCUCAUUGAGAAUUUGAUUUUUCUUUUUGAGUGAUUAAUGGUGAGGUUUGCUAACUUUUAUUUUUGAGUGUUGAGUGAUUAUUUUUUACAGUUUUGAAGAUGUCUAAAUGAGAUAAUAAUGAUGCACUUAUGAAAGUCCAACAACAGUUAGACGGACAUACUGCUGCAACCACACAAAUAAAUGCUACACUUCAAGCAUUGAAUACUACUUUGAAUGAGGUACGAGUGAAUCAAAAACAUCAAUAUCGAGAUCCAAUUAAGGAAGAUAGGGAUAACCAGCCCCAUAGGUGCAGCCCUCAACGUGUCCCUAGAAUGGAUGAUGAUUUUCAUGAUCGUGGACAAUCAUCUUUGGCAAAACCAAAGAGCGAGCAGCAACGAGAACAUCUCUUUCAUACUCGCUGCCAUGUACAAGGUAAGCUUUGUAGAGUUAUUAUUGAUGGUGAAAGUUGCUCGAACAUAGCCAGCACGACGAUGGUGGAAAAGCUUUGCUUAACCACUACCAAGCAUCCACAACCUUAUCAACUACAAGGGCUUAGCAACAAAGGCCAAUUUAGGGUCACUCAACAAGUGCGCAUCGCCUUUUCUAUCGGUAAGUAUCAAGACGAAGUUGUGUGUGACGUAAUGCCUAUUCAGGCCUGCCAUUUGUUGCUAGGAGAACCAUGGCAACUGGAUCGAAAAGUCACUCACAAUGGUCGUACCAAUAGGUAUUCUUUCAAGCAUCAAGGAAAGAAACUCACCUUAGUGCCGCUCACUCCGGAACAAGUCCAUGAGGACCAAAUCAAACUAAAAAAUUCUGUUAAAACAAGUGAGGAAAAAGAAAAAGAGAAUGAAAAAGAGCAAAAAGAGAUUGAGAGUGAAAAAGAAAUUGAAGAAAGAAGAGAAAAUGAUUUAGAAAAAGAAACAAAAGAAAAAGACGUGGAAAGGGUAGUGAGGAAUGUUUCCACUAACCAAGAUAUGAAUUUUUCUUGUGUUGCUACUUUUCAGGUUCCCGAAAGAUCGAAAGAUAACUUUCAACUUCAAUACCUCUCAAAUGAAAGACGCUUUCAUACGAUCAACUUAAGCAAAGAUGAAAUCACACUACAUGAUCCCGAAGGUAAGCGAGGUAAGGAAAUUUUAGAAACCGAGUCCAGUGCAGAUUUGAAAAUUAUUGAUAAAACUUUUGGUGACUUAGUUCUUAAAAGAUCCCCUCAUUUUGAUCCGAUUAAUUGUUACUCUUCGAUUGUGGUUGAUAAAGUCAUUACGAAAAGAAGCAUGAUUUGUUAUUCUCUUGAUUUACCUUGUGUAAAAUCCUUGAAUUUGUCCAAAUCUGUUUUGGAGAAUAAGGUAACGAAAUUUUCCAAAUUUGUUUUCAAUUUAUAUUCGUGCCUUAAACAGUUUAUGUGGUUGUACAUGAAGUUUGAGUUCCAUUUGACAAACGUUAACUCAACAACGAAGAUUCGACUACACUAUGCCCCCGAUGAGUGAAGGUUUGUUUUAAAUGAAAAAGGUAAAAUCGACCCUUAUUCUUUUGCUUAUCGAGGUAAGAUGCUUGAAACCUUUGAAACACUUUUGUACUCCUCGGAUAGUGAUAAAGAUCGUGUUGAUGAACACUUAGAUCGAAACGUGCUUGACUGUCCUAUUUUAUUUAUUGAUGAUCUAUCUGUUUUGAUGGUUGAUAAAAAGAUUCUUGUUUUUGAUAAUGCAUGUGUGAGUGAAUCUAUAGACCGUCGAUUAAUGCAUGGUAUGAUUAUGCAACUCUGUGAACCAUGUGAAUCUUUUCAAAUACCUACUUGUGACGAUUAUGUUUACCAUUUGAUUUAUUACUCGCAAUUUAUUCAUGGUUUGUGGGAACAAUGUGAGACGACUGAAUGCCUUAAAAUAUGUCCAUCUUUGUUUCAAAUAUUUGACGAGGCAGUGGUGAGUAAAUUAGAUUGUUUGCAUGGUAAUCUGAAUCUGUCCAUUCACAUGCGUUAUACCUGUUCUAUUAUGCUUAUGAUUGGACUACAAGCUUAUUUCCGUUGCUAUUUACUAUCUCAUGGCUAUUCUUCUCAGUGGACUCAAUUGCCAUUAGUCCCGUUCGAUAGAGGAAAGUCGAGUUCAUUUGAUUUUUCAGAUUCGAGGACGAAUCUUUUUGAGGAAGGGGGGAAUGAUACGAGUCACAAAAGCCCAAAUUCUUGAGGGCAAGGCCCAAUAAGAAGAUUCCAAGCCCAAUCAAGAAAUCCACCCAUACUUAGUUGAAAAUCAGGCCAAAUUGUCAAAGUGGCCCAAGUUGUAAAGUUUUAUUUUUAUUUAUUUAUUUAUUUAUUUAUUUUACUUAGUUUAAAUUUUUAUAUUCAGUCCAAGAGUCCCAAAUAAAAGACCCUUGGCCGAAUUUCCAUAUUAAAAUAAUUAGGAGUUUUUUUUUAGUUUUAGUUUUAGUGUUCUAAUUAAAUUAGGAAAACAUUUGAAAGGCCUAUUUAUAUGGUUUGGCCAGCCACCCUACAUUACAUUACAAUUACAUUGAAAAUUUCAGAUUUGAUUUGAGUGAAAAUUCUCUUUGAGUUCUUCAAGGAUUUUCUCUUGAGUUUUCUUUAGAAGUUGUUUUAACAAUCUUUUUUUGAUUGUGGGAGCCAUCUUCAACCUUCUUCUUGCCAUUGAUAUUCUUUGGAGGGGAGAUUAGAGCCGUUUGAAGGAAUUUGUGAAUUCUUUCGGGAAUUCAAGGGUUCUUAGGACUUUUCUUUAUUUCUUGCUAUUUCGAUUUGUUUCUUUAUUCCUACUUGUGCCGAUUCAUCAUCUAAUAAUUUGCUGUUCUUGUUUCUGUUUCAGCCUUGAUUCAAACUCCAAGAACUCUUCAUUUAAUCGGUUCUUUUAUUGGCAACAUAUAAUCGACUCAAAAUUCUCCAAAAUUUAGGGUUCUUGCCGUUUUCUAUUUCUUCUUGUUGGGUGAAAUUCGGCUGCUGAAAUUUGGGCAAUUCAUAUUGGGUGUUCAAUUGGACCGAAUCGCAACUUAAAUUCACUUCUUGAACCCGUCAAUUUCAUCUAUUUCUUUCUUUUCUUUUGCCGUCCAAAUCCCUAAUCUUCCAAUUAAAAAUUUGAUUGUUUCAAUCUACUUACUGUUUUGGUGUUCUUGGCAGAUUCGGCUUGUCGGAUUUCACUAUUGGAGUUCGAUUUCAUCUUCUUGGACUCCGAAUACAUUUAUUCAUUCGUUCUUUGUUCCUUGCUGCUCAUUUAAUUGAAUUUGGGGAUUUAAUUUCAGAUCUGAUUAGUUUAAUCUUGUUCUUUGUUUUAAUUUUCAGAUCUGUUCGUUUAGAGCUUUCGUAGGAGUUUCUCGUGACUUGGCAACUCGAUUUUGGUCCGCGCGCAUCCCCGUAUCAACCCAAUAUGAAUUGCCCAAAUUUCAGCAGCCGAAUUUCACCCAACAAGAAGAAAUAGAAAACGGCAAGAACCCUAAAUUUUGGGGAAUUUUGAGUCGAUUAUAUGUGGCCAAUAAAAGAACCGAUUAAAUGAAGAGUUCUUGGAGUUUGAAUCAAGGCUGAAACACAAACAAGAACAGCAAAAUAUUAGAUGAUGAAUCGGUACAAGUAGGAAUAAAGAAACAAAUCGAAACAGCAAGAAAUAAAGAAAAGUCCUAAGAACCCUUGAAUUCCCAAAAGAAUUCACAAAUUCCUUCAAACGGCUCUAAUCUCCCCUCCAAAGAAUAUCGAUGGCAAGAAGAAGGUUGAAGAUGGCUCCCACAAUCAAAAGAUUGUUAAAACAACUUCUAAAGAAAACUCAAGAGAGAAUUCUUGGAGAAAACCCCAAAGAAAAUUCUGCACUCAAUAAAUCUGAAAUUUGAUAGAAAAAAAUAAUAAUAAGAUGUGUUUACAAAGGGUGGCUGGCCAAUGCUUAUAUAGGCCUCCAACAAAUCCUAAUCUCACAAGUAACUAAUAAAAAUUAAACCUAAUUAAUAAAAUAACAAGGUAAAUUCGGCCAUGCAAUUAUAUGGGCUGUUUUGGGCCAAAUUUUACAUGUAAUUCUCCUAAAGAUUAAAAAAAUUAAAUUAAACAAGUAGGAUGUUUACGAAUUGGGCCCUUUAACAUUUUGGCCUGAUUUUCAACUAAGUAUGAAGAAAUUUCUUGAUUGGGCUGGCUUUUGGUUAUUGGGCCUCGCCUUCAAGAAUUUGGGCUCGUGAUCCAUCUCCUACCAAAAUUGGGUCGUUGACGCUCGUAAUGGAGAUCCAAUGUGUUUUGGCUGCAAGAUUUGGUUUCUUGGACCAAGAUUUCCAAGAUUUGAAAUCUUGAUUUUCUUGAUUCUUGAAAUCUCUUCGAACAGCAAAAUUGGGCCAAGAUUCGAUUUCUUGAUUUUCUUGUUCUCUCGUGUAUGAAUCUAAGGCCUUGCUAACAAGCUCUUGAAUGGUCCCAUUUAGUUUGGACCGCAUUUGUCGGGCCUUUGAUCUCGUUAUUGGGCCUUGUGGCAAUUUGAGCCCAUCACGUUCUUGAACUUGGAUUGGGCCUUUAUGACUCGUAUCACCAAUGGCUUAACGAUGGUGGAGAAUUGAAGGUAACAAAACAAGUGCUCAUUUCAUUCACAAUCGGAAAAUAUCAAGAUGAAGUGAUGUGCGACGUUGUACCGAUGCAUGCAGGGCAUCUUCUUUUGGGACAUCCGUGGCAAUUCGACAAGCGACCAAUUCAUGAUGGUUACACAAAUCGAUUCUCUUUCAAACAUAUGGGACGAAUGGUGACUCUAGCUCCGUUAUCACCGAAACAAGUGUACGAAGAUCAACUCAAAAUGAGGAGUUCGAUUGAAAAAUCAAAAGAAAUCGAGAGAGAGCAAAAAAAUGAAAAGAAUAAAGAAAAGAGUGAAGAAAAGAAGAAAAACAAAAAGAUGAGUGAUAAAAAAAGAGAGAGUGAUUCAAAAGAAAAAGAAAUGAGUGAUGAGAUUGAAAAAAAGAAUUUGUUUGUAAAAGAGAGGGAAGUUCGAAAAUCGAUGCUAUUGAAACAACCAUUGUUGGUUCUUUUGUACAAGGAGAGCUUGCUUGGCACUAACGAAUUUGAUGACAAAUUGCCUUCUUCUAUUUUGUCUGUGUUGCAGGAAUUUCAAGACGUAUUCCCGAAAGAAAUCCCGAGUGGGUUACCACCUAUUCGUGGAAUUGAACACCAAAUCGAUCUUGUGCCGGGUGCCGCAAUUCCAAACCGACCUGCUUACCGGAGCAAUCCUGAAGAGACGAAAGAAUUACAAAAGCAAGUAAAUGAACUCCUUGAAAAGGGCUAUGUGCGUGAAAGCCUUAGUCCAUGCGCCGUGCCUGUUUUACUAGUUCCGAAGAAGGAUGGAACGUGGAGGAUGUGCGUGGACUACCGUGCUAUAAACAAAAUAACUAUCAAGUAUCGUCAUCCUAUACCACGAUUGGAUGAUAUGCUUGACGAGCUAAGUGGCGUGAGUUUAUUUUCAAAAAUCGACCUUAAGAGCGGUUAUCACCAAAUACGGAUGCGUGAGGGAGAUGAGUGGAAGACUGCGUUCAAAACGAAGCAUGGGCUUUACGAAUGGCUCGUUAUGCUAUUUGGCUUAACGAACGCCCCAAGCACAUUCAUGGGGCUUAUGAAUCACGUUUUAAGACCUUUUAUUGGUAGAUUUUGCGUAGUAUACUUCGACGAUAUAUUGAUCUGUAGUAAAAAUUUGGAUGAACAUAUUUUACAUUUAAAAUCUGUUUUGGAAGUAUUGAGAAAAGAAACCUUGUAUGCUAAUUUGAAGAAAUGUGAUUUCUGCACUAACAAGGUUGUGUUUUUAGGUUUUGUUGUUAGCUCGGAGGGUCUUGAAGUCGAUCAAGAGAAGAUCAAGGCGAUUCAAGAAUGGCCCCCGUCCGACGAAUGUCUCCCAAGUCCAAAGUUUCCAUGGACUAGCAAGUUUUUACUGUCGAUUCGUGCCAAAUUUCAGCACCUUAGCCGCACCUUUAACCGGGGUUAUUCGUAAGAAUUCCAACUUCAUUUGGGGAGAGGAACAAGAAAAAUCCUUUUUGAAAAUUAAAGAUUGUCUAACUCAUGCACCGUUAUUAGCUUUGCCUAACUUUGAUAAAACUUUCGAGUUAGAAUGUGAUGCAUCAGGUUUAGGCAUUGGAGCUGUGUUGAUGCAAGAUGGUCGUCCUAUUGCCUAUUUUAGCGAGAAACUGAAUGGUGCUAUCUUAAACUAUCCAACAUAUGACAAGGAGCUCUAUUCGUUGAUCCGAGCCUUAGAAACGUGGCAACACUAUCUUUGGCCCAAGGAAUUCGUUAUACACACCGAUCAUGAGUCCUUGAAGUAUUUAAAGGGGCAACACAAGUUGAAUAAGCGACACGCUAAGUGGGUAGAAUUUCUCGAAUCUUUUCCCUACGUUAAUAAAUAUAAGAAAGGUAAGGAAAAUGUAGUGGCUGAUGCACUAUCUCGAAGGUAUGCGUUGCUAAAUAUUUUGGAUGCUAAGUUAAUGGGGUUUGUAUUUCUUAAAGAUUUAUAUGUCAACGAUGCUGACUUUGGUGAAUUCUUUAGAUUAUGUGCCAAGGGAGCCUACGAGAAGUACUAUCGACAUGAUGGGUACUUAUUCUGAGAAGGAAAGCUUUGUAUACCCCAAGGUUCCGUACGAGAAGUGUUGAUCGAAGAAGCCCAUAGCGGAGGAUUAAUGGGGCACUUUGGUGUUGCUAAGACAUUAGCUACAUUGCACGAACAUUUCUUUUGGCCCAAGAUGCGACGAGAUGUCGAACGAUUUUGUAAUAGAUGCAUUGCGUGCAAACAGGCUAAGUCACGAAUUAAGCCCCACGGUUUGUAUAAACCAUUACCUAUUCCCGAAACCCCUUGGUCUGAUAUCUCCAUGGAUUUCGUGCUAGGUUUACCUAGGAGUAAGAAUGGCCGAGAUUCAAUAUUUGUGGUUGUAGAUAGGUUCUAAAAAUAGCCCAUUUUAUAGCAUGUCAUAAAACUGAUGAUGCCGUUAAUAUUGCUAACUUAUUUUUCAAAGAGGUGGUCAGGUUGCAUGGCAUGCCUAGAACGAUCGUGUCCGACCGAGACGCAAAAUUCCUUAGCCAUUUUUGGAGGACACUAUGGGGGCGUCUUGGAACGAAGUUGCUGUUUUCAACCACUUGCCAUCCGCAAACGGACGGCCAAACCGAAGUGGUCAAUCGGAUUCUGUCUACAUUGCUUCGAGCUAUUAUUUGGAAGAAUGUGAAGGCUUGGGAAGAAUGCUUACCACAUGUGGAGUUUGCGUAUAAUCGAGCUGUUCAUUCAGCUACCAAAUUUUCUCCUUUUGAAAUUGUCUAUGGUUUCAAUCCAUUAACUCCACUUGAUUUAUUGCCAUUGCCUUCUAAUCAACUUGUUCAUGUAGAUGGGAAGCGCAAAGCUGAUUUUGUCAAGCAAUUGCACCAACGAGUUCGAGACAAUAUUGAGGCCAAGACCAAGAACUAUGAGCAACAUGCUAACAAAGGUCGUAAGCGAGUUGUGUUCGAACCAGGAGAUUGGGUUUGGUUGCAUAUGCGCAAGGAGAGAUUUCCUAUGCAAAGGCGAUCCAAACUUCUUCCGAGAGGGGAUGGACCGUUUCAAGUCCUUGAGCGAAUUAACGAUAACUCCUAUAAAUUGGACUUGCCUGGUGAAUAUAAUGUUAGCGCGACUUUUAACGUUUCUGAUUUGUCUCCGUUUGAUGCAGAUUCCGAUUUGAGGGCAAAUCGUUCUGAAGAGGAGGGGAAUGAUGUGAGCUUGCCUACGAACCAAAUGUAGAACGAACAAGAAGCCAUUAAGCUGCCCAUUGGUCCAAUAACGCGAGCUAGAGCUAAACGAUUCAAAGAUGCUAUUUUAGCAAUGGUGGAACGGGUUGAGGAAAAUGAUAGCAGGGAGUUUAAAAACGAGCUGAACAUAUUCAACUUCUUUGAAGCUGAAUUUCGUUCUAGCUAAUUAAUUUACUGCUGGAAUUUUAGACCAUUUAAAUAAGCAUUUAAAUAAGUUUCAUUACAGCUUUUAAAUAUGUUUUAAUUUAGUACAAGUGUUUAAUAUGUUGAUUUGGUUGAAUUAAAGGUGUCUAGAUGUCAUUUAAUUUGUUUGAAUAUAUUACAUGAAUUAACUAUGUUCAGCCGAAUUAAUGUGUCUUGUUUAGUACAUAUUUAAUUCGGCUUAAUGUUAAUUAGUAUGUUCAUAUUAUGUUCAACUGAAUUGAGUUAAAUUAAUGAGGUUCAUUUGUUUUAUUUAGGUUCAGCCGAAUGUGGAAGAUGCAUGGUGAUACGAGCACGCCCCGCGAACUUCAUCGAACAAGUCUGUCAAGCCGAGCAUUGACAUGUUGGCAAGCUGAUCCCAGCUCGUUUUCAGCUCCACGAGCUCCGUCUAGCUCAAAUCCAGCUUAUUCAAGCUCGAUCAAACUUGCCUGAGCUAAACCGAGCUCACUCCUAGCUCAUAUUUAGCUCACGAGCUAAACCUUAGCUCAACUUCAGCUUAGGAGUUUAGCCUCAGCUCAACUUUAGCUCACGAGCUAAAGCUUAGCUCAUUUUAGUUUAAACUCGGUUUUGUCUUUAAUACAUUAAAUAAAAAUUUGCACAUAUUCAUUUAAGCAUUAAACUUGUCUUAUAUUAAUAUUUGUUAUUAAUAUGUCAUUGUCAUUAUAUAAAUUGAUUAUGUUCACAUAGCCGAAUUAAUGCAUGACAUUAAUGUGUUCACAUCAUGCCGAAUUUAUGAGUGUUCAUGAGAUGUCUUAAUGACUUGUUUAUUUCAUGUAGGUACAUUCCUUUGGACGGUACAAUGUAUGAAUGAAGAAACAUCUCUUUUGGGCAUUCCACACUCAUGAAUGAAGAAGUAUUAAAUGCUGGUGCAUGUACGGCUAGAUGCAAUGUUUCUACAAAUUCAUGCAUGUGUCGAAUGCAUGUAUGGACAUUAAAGGCUAGUCCAUGAAUGGAUCAAAUGCAUGGGAUGAUAGAAUGCAUGAAUGGCUUAAGUGCAUGUAUGGUGGCUGUCUCUUAACUUUCCAAGGCACUUAUUCAGCCAAGAAGUAGCUGCUAACUAAUUCUAUGUUGACCAUAGAGCUCCUUGAACAUGUUCACACUUUGAAUUGACCUAUAGGCUACUACACAUGCAUGGAUGGGUUCAAGAACGUCCAAGGGAAGGAAUUAACUCAAUAAUUCAACACAUUGAUUGAAUUAAGUGCAUGCACAAAGGGGAGAACGAAUUUACUAGGUUCAUGCUACCAUUUAUGAACUUACAUGCCAUUAAAGUGUUUAAUUAUGAAGAUACAUGGUCCAUACAAGUGCAUGAACGUCCCAAGGAGAUGAAUGCAACCUUUUGGUGCACAUACAAGUCACUUGAAGCCUUUCUUUAUGACUAAGCAUUCAUGCACAAACUAAGGGGGAAGAAAGUGUCCAUUCAGCUAGUGCAUGAAUCUGCCGAAUUUAUGAACUAUUUCAAUACAUUAGUGUGAACGUUUUUAUUAUUGUGUGAACACCUAGAUGCCGAAUUUGAAUGGUCAUCUAUGUGCCUAUAAAUAUUUGUUUUCUUUCAUUUGUAAAGGACUUUUGACUUUUGAUCAUUUGAAUGAACUUUGUUCAAAGAGUGAGUUUUCUCCUCUCUAAAUUCGUACGAGUUUCGAUCUGACUUAUCUAGCGUGCUAGUGGCGUCUAUCGUUCUCUUUUGAACUUAUCACCUUGCUUUGGUGUGGCGUUCAAGCCUUCUACAAUUCCUUAAUCCCACCUCGAACCGAAUAGAAAUCGGGGUGACACUUUUUAGUGUUGAAUCGUUUCUGGCGUUUAAGCUCAUUUAUCCAUUCCACCGACUAUCCUAGAUUUUACCCAACUAUAAUAUCUUUUUACAAAACCGAGCUUUCAUUUAUCCAACUUCCAUUUUUUUCUUAUUUUUAUCAUUAAAUCGAACCUACCACCCCUUAUAAAUUUACCAUCUCCUUAGCCCACCUUUUAAAACCAUUUGAAAGCUUCCGCAUCUUCAGCCUUAUCUCAUCCUAUUUCCGAUAACUCAACUAUUCCUCAUCGACGAUCGGGCAAUUAGGUGAAACGGCUCAAUUAACCCGGGCCGGAUCACAUCAUUUGGUUAUUGAUUAUUGAAAACUUGAUUGUGAGGUUUCCUCCUAUCCUAUUUCGUACGAGUCUCGUUCUGACUUAUCUAGCACGCUAGUGGCGUCAACCCGACUUCUUGAACUUAUCACCAUCCUGGUGUGGCGUUCAUCCACCUUUUUAUACCUUUGGUUCCUACCUCUCUAUAGGUAACGGGUCAAGGUCCAUCUUCGACAAUCCAUUAAACCCACCUUAAGCAAUAUAAGUCCCGGGGCAAUACUUCAUAUAGUAUUGAAUCGUUCUUCGCUUGAGUUCUAUUUUUCCAUUCCAUUUUAACUAUUAAAUUAUAAACAAUAUUUCUUUAUUUCACCGAGCCUAUCAAACAUCUAUCCAAACCAUCUUUUGAACCCAUUUUCUCAACUUCCGCUAUAAAAAAUCAUCUAACUCCAUCAUCUACAAAAUCGAACAAACUUCUCGUCGACGAUCGGGCAAUCAAGUGAAUCGACUCAAUCAACCGAGCCGGAUCACAUCACAUGGGAAAGGUUGACCGAAUGUGGUGUGCAAGAUGCAUGCAUGUUGGAUUCAAUGCACCUAAUGAUACAUGCAUGAAUUACAUUAAAAAUGGUGUGCUGAUUAUUGAAGUUCUCUAAGUGACCAUUCGGCUAAAGAGAUAGUUUUUCAAGCUGCCAUUAUUUCCUUCACAUUGCUGGAUACAUUUUGGCCAUUCUGUUCUUGGUGUUCACAUUUUAAGGCUCUUCAAAACCGUCCAUUCACACCUAAUGUGCUGUUCAAGUGCCCUCUUUAUUAUUGAUAAUUUUUCAGUAAGAGUUGCCUAUUGAAUGAUCAAUUAAGCUCAUCAGCUGAAUGUAGCUGCUACAUGCAUUCCCAAGAUUCAUUUGCUUAAUAUGGAAGCUUCAUGUAUGGUCACCAUUCAGCCGAACCUACAUUGGCCAUUUUUGUUCAAUGUUUGCUUAGAAACUAAGUCUAGAAUAUGUCCAUUCGGCUACUAGGCAUUAGGCUAUAAAUAGUUACUCAUUUUCUUGUAAAAGGACUUUUGACAAAUUUCUGAAUGAAAUAUCAUUUUAGUGAGGCAAUUCACUCUCUUUAUUCUCCAAAGCUCAAAUUGACUUAUCUUCAACAAGUGGCGUCAAUCUGACUUUGUUUCGAACUUAUCACCAUUGGUGUGGCGUUCUUCAUACCGUAGGUUCCUAUUUUGCUAAAUAGAGGGUCUCGGUUUUAUCCCAAAUCCUUUCUUUCUUUGAAACCUUAAGCCCCGGGUCCUUAUUUGCUAAUAAGGGUUUGACUUGUUUUCAUUGAAAUAUCCAGCAAACAACACUCCAUCAAACUCCCUUGUUUCCCAAAGCCAUUUAAUUUUAAACACCAAGACUUGAAUUUAUUUCAAGGCCGACACUACCUAAUUUCGAUCGGGAAAUAUUACGACUCGUUAUUUCAUACGAAACGAGCUCGUAUCACCAGCUCAAUGAGCUCAUUUGCUCAUUCCAUGAGAUUAAUUUAGCUCAUUUUAGUUCAUAUAGUUGCUGGAAUAAAUAAUAGUUAUUUAGUUUAAGUUAUUUUAAAUAAUUUAGCUAAGUGUUAAAUAUAUUUUUCAGCUAUUUAAUUUGUCUAAACUACUACAGAAAUUUAAGUUGUCUUAGGUCAUUUAAUUUGUCUUAGUUUAAUGCAUGGUUUAAAUGUGUCUAAAGUAGAGACAAAUUAAUUAGCUACUACUGAAUUUAAUUUGUGUCCUAGUUAAUACAUGUUUAAUUGUUGUUUAAUGUUUCCAAGUCUAAGAAAAAUUAAUUUCAUGUUUCUAAUUAAUUUGUCUAGCUGAAUUUAAGUUGUUUUAAGCUGAUUUUUAAUUUUGUUUUAGGUAUAUGCAUGGACGGAUUGAAUGGGGUGUGCUGAUGGUUGAGAUGCUCCAAGCACCUCUUCGUUGAGUCCAAGAGACAUUGAGCUACUGAUUUCUCUUCCCCAAGCUGGCCAUUGUGUUCUCCAACAACCCUUAAACGUUUUCAGACUUGCUGGAUGUUCCUUUCACACUCAUGGUUGUUUGGUUUGAGCUUUCACACUAAGAUGGCUGCUCAAUUUUGUUGGUUCACAUUCAAAGGCUGUCGAGUACUCCAAGCUGCUCAUUAAAGUCCAAAACUGUUCAAAUAUUCAAGGCAGCUCAAUUAGGACAAGUUCACACCUUUUGACUAAAUUUUAUCAAGUUAAUUCAGCUCCAUAAUCACUCCAAAUUAAUUCCAGCUGAAUGAAGGCCUCUAGAAGAUGUCCAUUGGUGUCUCCCAUGCUAGGAAACUUAUAGGAAGCUACAAGGAAGUUUCAAGGAAAUUUCAACCCUUCUAGAUAAAUCACAAGCUGUCUAUUCGGUCUCCCAAGUGGCUGAUCAGUUCUCAUUCAUUUUAAAUAUUUCCAGUUGCAUGUAGACACUCUAGAAGCUAUCCAAAGACGUUCCCAAGGCUGGAGAAGCUUCCUGGAACUUUCUUGAAUUAUUUUAGAAAUUUCCAGCUUAUUAAAAGCUGAAAUCAAAUUGCCAAUCAACUCCCCAAGUGCCUAUUCAGCUAGCCAUGUUUUAGGCUAUAAAUAUGUGUUAAUUGCAUUUUGUAAAGGUUACUCAAUUUUUAGACUUUGUCAUUUUAUGAACUUUAUUGUUCUAGUGAGAAUUCAAUUCUCUUUAUUCACAUUAGGACUGAUCUGACUUAUUGGGCAAUCCUCUUGUGGCGUUAAUCUUUCCUUGUUAUCCUGAACUUAUCACCUUUGUUGGUGUGGCGUUCAAAACUAUUCCAAGGUUCCUAUCUUUCAUAGAUAGUGGGUCGAGGUUUAUUUUCAAUUUAUCCUUCCACUUCAACUAUUCUAUUGCUUCUACCAUCAACUACAACCUAAGUUCCAUUUUUGAGACUUGGGUAAACAAUCUUAAUAUUGUUGGUUCAUUCUCCAGCCUUAGCCAUUUCUCCCUAUCUACAAUCCAACUAUCCUAAUCCUUUCUUUGAAACCCUUUUGAGCCUAUUCCAUACUUGAUUUUCACCUUCAUUUCAAUCGACCCAAAGACUUACCCAAUUUACGAUCGGGCAGCUAAUACGACUCAAAUCAUCACCGAGGUGAGUUCAUAUCAUUUGGUAUCAGAGCUAGUUAAAUUGAGGUAAGAUUCGGCAUUUUUUAUAUUCUCAAAUUUACAUUUUAGCGAAGAAAAAAUAAAAAAAUUGAAAAAUAUUCGUUAAAAAAAGAAUAUAUAUUUGAAGUGUAAAAAAAAUUCAGAAAUAGUAAAAAAAAGAAGAGGAUUAUGAAAGUAUAAAAAAAAGUGAAGUCGUCGUAUAAAUUCUUUUGCCCGAAAGUUUUUUUUUUCUUUUCAUUUCUCCCUACUAUCCAAACGGCCACACCUCUUCUUUUUAUUUUGCGUCUAGCUAACCCUUGUCCCACCAUCGUCUUCUACCCAAACCGACAUCACUCUUGUAAGCCGACUCCACACCGACGACCGCUAACUCUAAGUACUCCCUUGUGAAUCGAGAGAAGCGAAUAGAGUAGAAAAAGACAUGAGCGUGGUGAGAUUAUUCGAGUGUGUAAAAGCCAAAAUUUGUGUGAAUUUUCUUUUUGAAAGAAAUUGUGAUGUUUGUGUUGGUGAGUUAUACAUUUUUUUUGUUUUAAUCACUUUUCUUUUCUAUCAUUAAAAUCAUGAUUCAAGAAGAGUUUUCUGAGUCAGAUUUUCAAUAUUUGAUGAACGAGAUGCGUAGAAUCGUGAACUCCAAAUUUGACAAAUUGCAUGAGCGUUUGGACCGAUUGGAGGAAAGAGACCAAUGAGAACGACUGUCUCCAAGUCAAAAGACGGAGUCAAGGUCAUCACGGAGACACGUAUCUGAUGAUCAUUCGAGGAGAGACUCAUACCGAGAUUCAUAUUCAUCAAGAAAGCCAAGAUGGUAUGAAUCAAACCACGAAUUUGAAGCAUUUCGAGGUUACCAAUGAGAAGGUAUAAAUUCUUCUUUAAACGCUUCAACGUAUCCAUCUGCAGAGAAAUCCUUACGAAAAAGUAAACGUGGUUCGUAUGCGUCCAAGUAUUCACCCACAAAAGAUCAUUCUCAAAGAGGUUCAUAUCAUGAUUCCUAUUCGAUGAGGAAUUCAAGGUGAAGCAAAGCAAACUUUGAGUUUGAACCCAAUUAUAGUGACGAGCGAGAAAGUCCAAGUAAUUCUUCGUUACGCAAAGGUAUUCACCUACAAAGAUUCAAUAUCGAAAAGAUGCUCAUAUUUCAUAUGUGGAUCCUUCAUACUUUCCCCAACAAGAGGUUUCUCAUUUUGAUUCUUUUAAGUUAUCUCCUUCUUGUAAUAAAAUAAAAAAAGCAUGGGAGAAAGAAUUUGAAAGAAAAAAAGAAAUGAAAGAAAAAGAGUGUGAAAGAAAGCAAAAAGAGAAUGAGAAAAAGAAAAAAGAAAUCAAAAAAGUAAAAUAAUUUGAUCAAGAAAAGAACAUUGAAAAAGAGAAAGAGACUGAAGAAAGAAAAGAUGAUAAGCUAGAAUCAAGAGAAGUUGACAAAGAAAAAGAAAGUGAGUUAGAAACAAAAAUGAGUGAAAAUGAUGAAAAUGAGCAAGAAAAAAUGAUGAGUGUUUUAACUAACCGUUUUAUGAGUUCUCCUUGCAAUGUUUCUUCUCAGGUUUCUGAAAUUUCAUUGUCCAGCUACAACUUCAUUAUCUUUCCGAUAUGAGACGAUUCUGAAUGAUCGAGAAAGGUAAGAUCGUAGAUGACCCUAGUUCCCUAGCACUUAAAGGUGAGCUAGGUAAGGGUUCUAUGUUAAUCGAGUCUUAACCAUCUCACUUGCAUGAUAGUGGUAAGUUUAAUGAAGACUUAGUUAAUAAAAGAACUCAUCUUGAUUUGUCCAAAUGUCAUUUUUCAAUUAUUGAAGAUUUCGUUUUGAAUCAUGGUUUGGAAAGUUUUUCUAUUGAUGAGAAUGGCGUUGGUAAAUUUGUUGUUGAAGAAAGAUUAAUUUCGCACAAACAACAUUUGAUUUCGUGUGUAACACCCCUUACCCGUACCCGAGGCCGGGAUAAAGUACGAGGCAUUACCGGACAAACAUACGAACACUAAACUAAAAUACGGGCCAUAAAAUUUCAUUCAUAUUUCAAAACGUUCAUUCACUUACACAUAGUCCCUUAUUUGAGUCUACGAAGCCUAAAACAUACUUUAGAAAGGGUUCGGGACUAAACCGAGAACUUACGAAAAUCUUGGAAAUUUUAUGCUUUAAGGCUCCACAUGCCCGUGUCCCAAAGUCGUGUUCCAUACACGGGUGAGACACAUGGUCGUGUCUCUGCCUGUGUGGAAUAUACCUAGGCUAUUUUCCAAGCUUUGGUCAACGUUAAUCUCUUACACACUUAUACAAAAUCAAAAGCAUAUAACAUGGUAUUCAUUUAAUGAUUAAAUAUUCUCAAUUAAACCACAAACAUAGCAUUUGUAUGUCAUCAUACAUGUGUCUCUCAUACUCAUUUCACCUUGUUUAUUAUAGUACCACUUAUACAUUUAUACCAAGAUUAUCAUCUUACCAAAUAUCUUCAGCUUAAUCAUCAAGCAUUCAUAUUUAAAACUAGAUCAUAUCUUUAUAAAAUAUCACAAUUCAGAUGCGCAAAAUAACAUGUUUGCCUAAAACAUUUCAAUUCAACUCCAUACCCAACAAGCAUUACAUUGAGACUAGUCAUAUAUAUAUACAUGUCAUGAUACAUAUCAUUCUCUUUCUGUUUUCUUAUAAACACAUAUCAUUUAUUUCAUUAUAUCAAUAUUUUAAAUACCAUAGUUUCCAUGUAUUCCACAUAUAUUUAUUUUCCUCCUCCUCCUCUCCAUUCCACAUCCUUAAUGUAUAUAUCAUUCUUGUAAGUACAAUUUCACAAUGUACUAAUAAAUGCUCACAUCAAACUGUGAUAGAGGAAUACGCGCGGACCAAGAUCGAGUUGCCAAGUCACAAAAAACUCCUACGAAAGCUCUAAACGAACAGAUCUGAAAUCAAACAAAGAACAAGAUUAAAUUUGGAAAAUUAAAAUCUGGAAUAAGAACCCUAAAAAUCAGCAAGAUCUAAUCAAGGAACGAAACACUUAUGAAAGAGGUUUCUUGAAACCAAGAACACGAAAUUGAUUCCCAAUAAUGAACUCCCACAAGCCGAAUCUGCCAAGAACACCAAAAUAGUAAGUAGAUUGAAACAAUCAGAUUUUUAAUUGGAAGAUUAGGGAUUUGGACGGCAAAAAAAAGAAAAGAAAGAAAUAGGUGAAAUUGAACAGUUCAAGAAGUGAAUUUAAGUUGCGAUUCGGUCCAAUUGAACACCCAAUAUGAAUUGCCCAAAUUUCAGCAGCCGAAUUUCACCCAACAAGAAGAAAUAGAAAACGGCAAGAACCCUAAAUUUUGGGGAAUUUUGAGUCGAUUAUAUGUGGCCAAUAAAAGAACCGAUUAAAUGAAGAGUUCUUGGAGUUUGAAUCAAGGCUGAAACACAAACAAGAACAACAAAAUAUUAGAUGAUGAAUCGGCACAAGUAGGAAUAAAAAAACAAAUUGAAACAGCAAGAAAUAAAGAAAAGUCCUAAGAACCCUUGAAUUCCCGAAAGAAUUCACAAAUUCCUUCAAACGGCUCUAAUCUCCCCUCCAAAGAAUAUCGAUGGCAAAAGAAGGUUGAAGAUGGCUCCCACAAUCAAAAGAUUGUUAAAACAACUUCUAAAGAAAACUCAAGAGAGAAUUCUUGGAGAAAACCCCAAAGAAAAUUCUGCACUCAACAAAUCUGAAAUUUGAUAGAAAAAAAUAAUAAUAAGAUGUGUUUACAAAGGGUGGCUGGCCAAUGCUUAUAUAGGCCUCCAACAAAUCCUAAUCUCACAAGUAACUAAUAAAAAUUAAACCUAAUUAAUAAAAUAACAAGGUAAAUUCGGCCAUGCAAUUAUAUGGGCUGUUUUGGGCCGAAUUUUACAUGUAAUUCUCCUAAAGAUUAAAAAAAUUAAAUUAAACAAGUAGGAUGUUUACGAAUUGGGCCCUUUAACAUUUUGGCCUGAUUUUCAACUAAGUACGAAGAAAUUUCUUGAUUGGGCUGGAUUUUGGUUAUUGGGCCUCGCCUUCAAGAAUUUGGGCUCGUGAUCCAUCUCCUACCAAAAUUGGGUCGUUGACGCUCGUAAUGGAGAUCCAAUGUGUUUUGGCUGCAAGAUUUGGUUUCUUGGACCAAGAUUUCCAAGAUUUGAAAUCUUGAUUUUCUUGAUUCUUGAAAUCUCUUCGAACAGCAAAAUUGGGCCAAGAUUCGAUUUCUUGAUUUUCUUGAAAACAAGAAAGUGAAUCUUGAUUUUCUUGUUCUCUCGUGUAUGAAUCUAAGGCCUUGCUAACAAGCUCUUGAAUGGUCCCAUUUAGUUUGGACCGCAUUUGUCGGGCCUUUGAUCUCGUUAUUGGGCCUUGUGGCAAUUUGAGCCCAUCACGUUCUUGAACUUGGAUUGGGCCUUUAUGACUCGUAUCAUUCCCCCUUCCUCAAAAAGAUUCGUCCUCGAAUCUGAAAAAUCAAAUGGGGACAAGUCAGCCACAUUAAAAGUAGAACUUACAUUGUACUCAACAUGUAGAUCAAUUUUAUAGGCAUUAUCGUUGAUCCGCUCGAGUACUUGGAAAGGCCCAUCGCCCCUGGGUCCAACUUAGUCUUCCUUUUUGUAGGAAAUCGUUCUUUCCUCAAAUGGACCCAAACCCAAUCUCCGGGUUCUAGUAGAACCCGUUUGCGCCCCUUGUUUGCUUUGUUGGUGUUGGCAUCAUUUGUUUUGGCUAUUCGCUGUCUAGCCUUCUCAUGUAAGGAUUUCACCAACUCAGCUUUCUGUUCGCCAUCUAAAUUCAUAACGUGUUUAAGAGGUAAUGGCGCAAGAUCAAGUACUGUUAGUGGGUUAAAACCAUAAACAAGUUCAAAUGGGGAAUAACCAGUUGUAGAAUGAAUAGAUCUAUUAUAUGCAAAUUCAACGAAUGGUAGGCAUUCUUCCCAAUUUCUAAUGUUCUUUCCCACAACAGCUUGUAAUAGAGUCCCUAAGAUUCGAUUAACUACUUCAAUUUGACCAUCAGUUUGGGGGUGACAUGUAGUAGAAUAAAGCAAUUUAGUACCAAGCUUACCCCACAAUACCUUCCAAAAGUGGCUAAGGAAUUUGACAUCUCUAUCAGAAAUAAUUGUUUUAGGGAUGCCAUGAAGUCUUACCACUUCUUUAAAGAAUAAGUCUGCCACAUGUGUAGCAUCAUCUGUUUUGUGACAAGGAAUAAAAUGUGACAUCUUUGAAAACCUGUCAACAACAAUAAAUAUACUAUCUCUUCCUUUUUUUGUUCGAGGCAAACCUAAAAUAAAAUCCAUGGAUAAAUCUACCCAAGGUGAAGUAGGAAUCGGUAGAGGAGUGUAAAGGCCAUGAGGCAUUACCUUAGAUUUUGCUUGUUUGCAUGUAAUGCACUUGGAACAUACCUUUUCCACAUCCUUCUUCAUAUGUGGCCAAUGGAAGUGUUCUUGCAAUAUGUCUAGUGUUUUGGCCACUCCAAAAUGUCCCAUUAGUCCCCCACUAUGGGCUUCAUGAAUCAACAAUUCUCUCAUGGAACACGUUGGUAUGCAUAACCUGUUUAAAUGAAAAAGAAAGCCAUCUACAAGAUAAAAUUUUUCAAAAGCAGUAUGUCCACAAUUCUUAUAGAUAUGGUUGAAAUCAGUAUCAUCAUCAUAUAACUCUUUAAUAUGUUCAAACCCUAAGACUUUAGCAUUCAAUGUAGUUAUUAAAGUAUAUCGUCUAGACAAAGCAUCUGCGACUACAUUAUCUUUACCUGUUUUAUAUUGAAUCACAUAAGGGAAUGUUUCAAUGAAUUCUACCCAUCGGGCAUGUCUUUUACUCAACUUACCUUGUCCCUUUAACCAUUUAAGAGACUCAUGAUCUGUAUGUAUGACAAACUCAUUAGGCAGCAAAUAAUGUUGCCAUACUUGAAGUGCACGAACUAAUGCCAAUAGUUCUUUGUCAUAAGUCGAGUAAUUUAACUGUGCACCGUUCAAUUUCUCACUAAAAUAAGCAAUAGGUUGCUUAUCUUGCAUUAAAACGGCGUCGAUUCCAAUUCCUGAAGCAUCACACUCAAGUUCAAAAGUGUUAGCAAAAUCAGGUAAUUUAAGCAAAGGAGCAGAACAUAACUUAGCUUUUAGAGUUUGAAAAGCUUUUUCUUGGGUUUCACCCCAUUUGAAACCCACUGAUUUCUUUAUAACUUCAGUCAAUGGGGCAGCAAUAGUAGAGAAAUCUUUCACAAAUCGUCUAUAAAAACUGGCUAAACCAUGGAAAGAUCUCACCUCAGUUACCGAUUUAGGAGUCGGCCACUCCUUAAUUGCCUUAACUUUGUCCUCGUCGACAUGAAUACCUUGAGCACUAACUAUGAAACCUAAGAAUAUUAGUUUAUCACAACAGAAUGUGCAUUUAUCAAGGUUGGCAAAUAAUCUUUCAGUUCGUAGAAUAUCCAAAACGGUUCGAACAUGGAAAACAUGAUCAUCUAAUGACUUUGAGUAAAUUAAAAUAUCAUCAAAGUAAACUACUACAAAUUUACCCAAAUGUAGCCUCAAAACAUGAUUCAUUAAUCUCAUAAAUGUACUAGGUGCAUUAGUAAGGCCGAAAGGCAUAACUAACUAUUCAUACAAUCCAAAUUUUGUUUUAAAAGAUGUUUUCCAUUCAUCCCCUUCCCUCAUUCGAAUUUGAUGAUAACCGCUUUUUAAAUCAAUUUUUGUAAAUAUUAUUGAACCAUGUAAUUCAUCAAGCAUAUCAUCAAGUCUAGGGAUUGGGUGUCGAUACUUUACCGUUAUCUUGUUGAUUGGGCGACAAUCAACACACAUACGAAACGUACCAUCUUUCUUUGGCACCAAUAAGACAGGAACAGCACAAGGACUUAGGCUCUCACGAAUGUACCCUUUGUCUAGUAAUUCCUCCACUUGCCUUUGCAAUUCCUUUGUCUCCUCGGGAUUGCAUCUAUAGGCUGGUCGAUUUGGGAUUGAAGCUCCGGGUACUAAGUCAAUUUGAUGUUCUAUCCCUCAUAAAGGUAGUAAACCUUUAGGGGCCUCACUAAAAACAUCCUCAUAAUCCUGCAAAAGAGAUUGAAACACACUAGGCAAAUUUUCGUUAAUGUUAGAUAAAGAUAAAUAAUUUUGCCUAAACCUCACAAGGAUACAAGGCUGUUUAUUAAGUAGGGCUCUCUUCACAUCUUUUUUUGUUGUCAAAAGAUUUUUUCCGCUCAUUUUACCACUAGAGGAUUCACUCACCUUUGGGCUUUUUAAAUUUUGACUUUUUCCACUACUAUUAGCCUCUUUUCUCUCUGUCUUUUGUACUUGCUCUUUCUCCCUUACCCCCUCACAAAAUUUUAUCAUCCUCAAUUGAUCUUUAUAUACAUCAGUAGGAUUUAAAGGAGCAAAAGUGAAUUUCUUGCCUUUAAAUACAAGGGAGUAUCGAUUAAGUUUACCUUGGUGUGUAACAUCGCGAUCAAAUUGCCAAGGUCGUCCAAGGAGCAAGUGUGCCGCAUGCAUGGGGACUACAUCACACCAUACGUCAUCCUCAUAAUUGCCGAGUUUAAAAGUGACCAAGGACUGUUUCGUAACUUUAACUUCGGAACAUUCAUUAAGCCACUGAAGGUGAUAUGGCUUAGGGUGUUUGGUACAAGGAAACUUUAAAGAAUCCACCAAAUAACUACUCACUACAUUCGAGCAACUCCCACUAUCAAUAAUGAGUGAACAUAAGUUACCUUUAAUAAAACACCGAGAAUGGAAAAUAUUGGUCCUUUGGCUCUCAUCAUCUUUUAUCUGAAUGUUAAGGGUUCGACGAACUACAAGGCAUUGAAAAUUAGCAAAGUCCCCUUCCUUUGGUGGUUCGACCAACUCGUCGCCAUUAUCACUGUCAUCCACAAGUUCUGGCAUAUCUGGAUCUGUAUUAUCAGAGUCGGAAGUGUACUCACCGUUAUCUUUUAGAAGAAGUAAUCUCGUGUUAGGGCAUUCUCUACUAUAAUGACCACGCCCUUUGCACUUAAAGCAUUCAAUCUCACGAGUCCUCUUCGCACUCGAAUCACCUAAAUUGGGCUGCUUAGAAGGUGUUUGUGUUUUUGCAGGAGCCCCUUUUUUCCAAUCUGAUUGUUUACUUCCAUUACUCAAAGAAGACUUGUUAGUAACAAAAGGUGGUUUUGAACUCUUAAAAUCAGAAUUGGAAUUGUUACCUCGAUAAUAUUGUGAAGUAGAUAAGGACCCAAACCUUUGUUCCUUUAAUUAUUGCUCGAUCUCAAUGGCUUUGUGAACUGCUUCUUCCAAAUCAAUGUAAGUUUGUAGCCUCAAUGUAUUAGCUAUCGGCCUGUUCAAACCAUCAAUGAAUCGAACCAUAGUUGUUUCUUCAUCUUCCUCCAUAUUAGCUCUUUGAAUGAGCAUCUCCAUCUCUUUAAAAUAUUCAUCCACCGUCCUACUACCUUGGAUAAGUCUUCUCAACUUUGUUUUAAUUUCUCUAUAGUAGUGAGGUGGAAUAAACCUUUUACGCAUAAUCUGUUUCAACUCAUCCCAUGUCGAAAUCUCACCUUCAUAAUUCCGAUGGCGGUUUACCCCAAGUUGAGUCCACCAACUUAAUGCAUAAUCAGAAAAUUCUAGUGUUGCUAACGCUACCUUUUCAUCAUCCGGACAUUUAUAAUACCGAAACAUGAGUUCAAUCUUAGAUUCCCAUUCACAAUAAGCGUCAGGAUCAUUCUUACCACGAAAUUGGGGAAUUGUGAAUUUCGGUUUUGCCAAAGAAGGUUGUCCACGAUCAUGAAAAUCAUCAUCCAUUCUAGGGACACGUCGAGGGCCGCGCCUAUGGGGCUGGUUAUUCCUAUCUUCCCUGAUUGGAUCUCGAUAUUGAAGUUCUUGAUUCAUUCGUACCUCAUUCAAAGUAGUAUUCAAUGCUUGAAGGGUAGCAUUUAUUUGUGUGAUUGCAGCAGCGUGUCCUUCUAACUGUUGUUGGACUUCCAUAAGUGUAUCAUUAUGGUCAUCUUAAGACAUCUUCCAAAAAACCUGCAAAAAUAAACACUCAACACUCAAAAAUAAAAGUUAUCAAACCUCACCGUUAAUCACUCAAAAAGAAAAAAUCAAAUUCUUAAUGAGGUCGAAUACAAUCUUGUGAGUUCUUUAUCAGAGUUUAUAUAGACCAAUUAGAGAGUGUGAACCAAACUACCAAAGAAUCCUAAUUUGCACUAGGAUGCCAAAAACUGACGAGACACCAAUUGAUUCGUGUUGCACCGAGGAAGAAGUUGUGCACACGUUUAAAUCCUACUAACACAAGAAACAAGAAGGUGUUAGAUAACAUAAAGGAAGAAUAAAGGUAAACAAAUGAAAACCUACAGCUAAGAAUCAAUAAAAAUUGCUGAAAACAGAAAACUCGAAAAACUGCGGAGUAACUUGACAACUUCGUUCGAGGUGUUCCCGAUCUCAAAAAAUCACGAAAUUAAAUUUGGAGUGUCCUUAUAUAUUGAAUUUUUUGAUCUGGAAAUUUUGGGCACCAAAUUCAACCCGCUAAAUCUUUUUUUAAAUUUUUAUUAAAUUUCGUCUUUUUUUUAUUUUUUUGACUUUUUUGACUAAUUUUUUUGCGGGAAUAAUUUUUUUUAUAUUCAAUCACAGUGCCAAAAAUAUGUAUGUAAAAUUUCAGAUCAAUCAGAAAACGUUUACCCACUCAAAUGAAUUUUUUUCGAAAAUUUUUCUGGGUAAAACUGCUGUUUGUAAUUUAAAAAAUAGAGAUCAGUUUAGAAAUCAACCAAGAACACCCAAAACGCCCAAAAUCUGAUACCAAAUGAUAGAGGAAUACGCGCGGACCAAGAUCGAGUUGCCAAGUCACGAGAAACUCCUACGAAAGCUCUAAAUGAACAGAUCUGAAAUCAAACAAAGAACAAGAUUAAAUCUGGAAAAUUAAAAUCUGGAAUAAGAACCCUAAAAAUCAGCAAGAUCUAAUCAAGGAACGAAACACUUAUGAAAGAGGUUUCUUGAAACCAAGAACACGAAAUUGAUUCCCAAUAAUGAACUCCCACAAGCCGAAUCUGCCAAGAACACCAAAACAGUAAGUAGAUUGAAACAAUCAGAUUUUUAAUUGGAAGAUUAGGGAUUUGGACGGCAAAAAAAAGAAAAGAAAGAAAUAGGUGAAAUUGAACAGUUCAAGAAGUGAAUUUAAGUUGCGAUUCGGUCCAAUUGAACACCCAAUAUGAAUUGCCCAAAUUUCAGCAGCCGAAUUUCACCCAACAAGAAGAAAUAGAAAACGGAAAGAACCCUAAAUUUUGGGGAAUUUUGAGUCGAUUAUAUGUGGCCAAUAAAAGAACCGAUUAAAUGAAGAGUUCUUGGAGUUUGAAUCAAGGCUGAAACACAAACAAGAACAGCAAAAUAUUAGAUGAUGAAUCGGCACAAGUAGGAAUAAAGAAACAAAUCGAAACAGCAAGAAAUAAAGAAAAGUCCUAAGAACCCUUGAAUUCCCGAAAGAAUUCACAAAUUCCUUCAAACGGCUCCAAUCUCCCCUCCAAAGAAUAUCGAUGGCAAGAAGAAGGUUGAAGAUGGCUCCCACAAUCAAAAGAUUGUUAAAACAACUUCUAAAGAAAACUCAAGAGAGAAUUCUUGGAGAAAACCCCAAAGAAAAUUCUGCACUCAACAAAUCUGAAAUUUGAUAGAAAAAAAUAAUAAUAAGAUGUGUUUACAAAGGGUGGCUGGCCAAUGCUUAUAUAGGCCUCCAACAAAUCCUAAUCUCACAAGUAACUAAUAAAAAUUAAACCUAAUUAAUAAAAUAACAAGGUAAAUUCGGCCAUGCAAUUAUAUGGGCUGUUUUGGGCCGAAUUUUACAUGUAAUUCUCCUAAAGAUUAAAAAAAUUAAAUUAAACAAGUAGGAUGUUUACGAAUUGGGCCCUUUGACAUUUUGGCCUGAUUUUCAACUAAGUAUGAAGAAAUUUCUUGAUUGGGCUGGAUUUUGGUUAUUGGGCCUCGCCUUCAAGAAUUUGGGCUCGUGAUCCAUCUCCUACCAAAAUUGGGUCGUUGACGCUCGUAAUGGAGAUCCAAUGUGUUUUGGCUGCAAGAUUUGGUUUCUUGGACCAAGAUUUCCAAGAUUUGAAAUCUUGAUUUUCUUGAUUCUUGAAAUCUCUUCGAACAGCAAAAUUGGGCCAAGAUUCGAUUUCUUGAUUUUCUUGAAAACAAGAAAGUGAAUCUUGAUUUUCUUGUUCUCUCGUGUAUGAAUCUAAGGCCUUGCUAACAAGCUCUUGAAUGGUCCCAUUUAGUUUGGACCGCAUUUUUCGGGCCUUUGAUCUCGUUAUUGGGCCUUGUGGCAAUUUGAGCCCAUCACGUUCUUGAACUUGGAUUGGGCCUUUAUGACUCGUAUCAAACUGUCCACACGAGUCAUAGUCACUUACUUAUUUAUAAUUUGAGCUACAGAGCCCCAAAUUAAGAUCCGUAAAUUUCCUCUGAAACUAGACUCACAUAUCUUUCCACCAUAAAAUUUUCAUAAUUUUUGGUUUAGCCAAUUAGUACAUUUUAUUCAUUAAAAUUUCCCCUAUUUCACUUUCUGAUAGUUCUGACCUCUCUUCACUAAAAAUUAACUAUCUCACAGUACAGAAUUCAGAUAAUGUUCUUGUUGAUUUAUCUUGAAAAUAGACUUAUUAAGGAUUUUAAAAAUAUAAUUUUAAGCCUCUAAUUAUUUUUAUCUAAAUUUUUGUGAUUUUCCAAAAUCAGAAUAGGGGAUCACGUAAUCAUUCUAAACCAGUCUCACAAAAACAUAAAUAUCUCAAAAUAUAGAACUCCUUUUCUUUCUCUGUUUCUUUUAUAUGGAAAUAGAUGCAUUAAGAUUUAAUUUUAAAUCUCAUUCAGUCUCUGAUUCAUUUUCUACUAUUUUUGGUGAUUUUUCAAAUCACAUCACUGCUACUGUCCAAAAUAGUUUUAUUGCUAAUUCACUCUUUCACACUUUCUUUGUAUUAACCUCAUUUUAACAUACAUAUCACAAAUCAUUUUCACCACAUUUCAUACAUCACAAGUAUAGGCCCAUGAUCACAAGGUCACCAUAAAAUCAUCCUCAUGUAUAACUUACUUGUUUAUAACCUUACCACAUCCUAGUCACUUAAUGAACACAUCAUUCACAUAACCAAGUUCCUGCACUUAUUCAUCACAAAACUCACAAAGCAAUACAUAGAGAGUGUCCCGUUGAACACUUCGGAUCAAUCCUCGAUACUUGUUUAUAACCUUACCACAUCCUAGUCACUUAAUGAACACUCUUUUUGCUCUUUUUCAUUCUCUUUUUCUUUUUCCUCACUUGUUUUAACAGAAUUUUUCAGUUUGAUUUGGUCCUCAUGGACUUGUUCCAGAGUGAGCGGCACUAAGGUGAGUUUCUUUCCUUGAUGCUUGAAAGAAUACCUAUUGGUACGACCAUCGUGAGUGACUUUUCGAUCCAGUUGCCACGGUUCUCCUAGCAACAAAUGGCAGGCUUGAAUAGGCAUUACGUCGCACACAACUUUGUCUUGAUACUUACCGAUAGAAAAGGCGAUGCGCACUUGUUGAGUGACCCUAAAUUGGCCUUCGUUGCUAAGCCCUUGUAGUUGAUAAGGUUGUGGAUGCUUGGUAGUGGUUAAGCAAAGCUUUUCCACCAUCGUCGUGCUGGCUAUGUUAGAGCAACUUUCACCAUCAAUAAUAACUCUACAAAGCUUACCUUGUACGUGGCAGCGAGUAUGAAAGAGAUGUUCUCGUUGCUACUCGCUCUUUGGUUUUGCCAAAGAUGAUUGUCCAUGAUCAUGACAAUCAUCAUCCAUUCUAGGGACACGUUGAGGGUUGCACCUAUGGGGCUGGUUAUCCCUAUCUUCCUUAAUUGGAUCUCGAUAUUGAUGUUUUUGAUUCACUCGUACCUCAUUCAAAGUAGUAUUCAAUGCUUGAAGUGUAGCAUUUAUUUGUGUGAUUGCAGCAGUAUGUCUGUCUAACUGUUGUUGGACUUUCAUAAGUGCAUCAUUAUUAUAACCUUUAGACAUCUUCAAAACCUGUAAAAAAUAAACACUCAACACUCAAAAAUAAAAGUUAGCAAACCUCACCAUUAAUCACUCAAAAAUAAAAAUCAAAUUCUCAAUGAGGUCGAAUUCAAUCUUGUGAGUUCUUUAUCAGAGUUUAUAUCAACCAAUUAGAGAGUGUGAACCAAACUACCAAAGAAUCCUAAUUUGCACUAGGAUGCCAAAAACUGAUGAGACACCAAUUGAUUCGUGUUGCACCGAGGAAGAAUUGGGCACACGUUUAAAUCCUACUAACACAAAAAACAAGAAGGUGUUAGAUAUUGUAAAGGGAGAAUAAAAAGCAAACAAAUGAAAACCUACAGCUAAGAAUCAAUAAAAAUUGUUGAAAACAGAAAACCCGAAAAACUGCGGAGUAACUUGACAACUUCGUUCGAGAUGUUCCCGAUCUCAAAAAAUCACAAAAUUAAAUCUGGAAUGUCUUCAAAUAUUGAAUUUUUGAUCUGGAAAAUUUGGUCACCAAAUUCAACCCGCUGAAUAUUUUUUAAUUUUUUAUUGGAUUUCGUAUUUUUUCAAUUUUUUGACUUUUUCGACUUAUUUUUUUGCGGGAAAUAUUUUUGUAUAUUCAAUAACAGUGCCAAAAAUAUGUAUGUAAAAUUUCAGAUCAAUCAGAAAACGUUUACCCACUCAAAUGAAUUUUUUUUCGAAAAUUUUUUUGGGUAAAACAGCUGUUUGUAAUUUAAAAAAUAGAGAUCAGUUUAGAAAUCAACCAAGAACACCCAAAACACCCAAAAUCUGAUACCAAAUAAUACGGGGUUGCGCGCGGACCAAGAUUGAGUUGCCAAGUCACGAGAAACUCCUACGAAAACCCUAAACAAUUAGAUCUGAAACGAAACAGAAAAUUAAAAGAUUAGAUUUUUGAAUUUUCAGAUCUGAAAUAAAAUCACCAAAUCAGCAAAGAAUCAAAUUGAGAAUAGAAAUAAGUGUUAGGGUUCUUGAAACCCUCAAGGAGAUUGUGAUUCUGCCCAAGUGAACACCAAGAUAGUUUUCCCCAAAUUUCGACAAUCUAAUUUCACCCAAAAAGAGUAUGGAAAAACCCUAGAAAUUGGGGAUUUUUGGGCUGAUUCCUUAAGAUAGAAAAAGGCUGAAAACACAACAAUAACAGAAAAUAGAUUAGAUAAUGAUUCAGCACAAGUAGAAAUAAAGAAAGAAUUGACAGUAAGAAAUUAAAAUAUAAGUCCUAAGAAGCCUUGAAAUCUCGAAAGAUCUCACAACUCCCUUCAAACGGCUCUAAUCUCCCCUCCAAAGAAUAUCAAUGGCAAGAAGAAGGUUGAAGAUGGCUCCCACAAUCAAAAAGAUUGUUAAAACAACUUCUAAAGAAAACUCAAGAGAGAAAUCUUGGAGAAAACUCAAAGAAAAUUCUGCUCUCAACAAAUCUGAAAUUUUAAUAAUAAUGAUAAGUGUUUAACAAGGUGGACAGCCAUGCCUUUAAAUAGGCCUUAUAACUAGUCCUAAUCUAAUUAGAAAACUAAAAUAAAAAAAACUCCUAAUUAUUUUAAUAUGGAAAUUCGGUCAAAGGUCAUUUUAUCUGGGACUCUUGGACUGAAUAUUGACAUAAAAAUUUAAACUAAGUAAAUAAAUAAAUAAAAAUAAAACUUUACAACUUGGGCCACUUUGACAAUUUGGCCUGAUUUUCAACUAAGUAUGGAUGGAUUUCUUGAUUGGGCUGGGAAUUUGCUUAUUGGGCCUCGCCUUCAAGAAUUUGGGCUUUUGUGACUCGUAUCAAUUCAUACGUCUCAAAUCUCAUACGCACAUUCUUGUUUAUACACAGUAGUUUCUCACAAAAGAUCAAUGAGUGCAUAUUUUUACCCAAAUCAAGCUGAUGGAAUGGCUUAUAUGUCUUUUUAUCUUGCAAAUGCCGAAUAAUUAUUAUUUUACUAACAAACUCAUCAGCAUCGCAAUUUCCAAAAGCGUUAUUCUUCUUGCCAUCAUUCCGCGCAAAUGUGUUAUCAUCAAUCAAAGGAUGGCAAGUAACCACAUCAAAGUUCAGAUCACUUCUAAAGGACAAUUCAUCAACAAGGUUUCCAUCAACAAUCGAAUAAAACAGAGGUGCUUUAAGAAUUUCAAAACUCAUACCUCGCUCCUCUUUUGGCAUAGGCGAACUAAGAUAGUUGAGAACGUUACCUUUUUCAACCAAGGUGAACCUUCUCUCCUUGGAAAGGUAUUGGAGUUGUAAAUUAUUGUCACUCGGCCUUUUGGAUACCUGAAAAGCAGAAACAGAACAAGAACAAAUUUCAUAUGGAUUAGUUGAAUUGCUACUCACUUUUUCUGGUUCAUUUGUCUCUUUUUCUCUCGUUUCUUUUUUAAUCUCAACUUCUUUUUCUCUCUUUUCAUUUCCUCUCUCGUUUUCAAUUUUAUUUUCGACCUCACUCUCUUUUUUGAUUUCUUUUUCUUUUUCAAUCUCUUUUUCAUUUCUUUCAUUUUCUUUUUCUCGCUUGCACUCUUGUUCAAUCUCAAUUUCUUUUUCGAAUUCUUUCUCUUCAUUUUCUUUUUCUCUCGCUUUUUCGAUUUCAUUACAAUGUGCAGUCGACACGAAAGAAUCAAAAAUAUAAUCAUUUGCCCCAAAGGAAGAGAAAAUAUUUUCAUAGGCUUCUCGUCCAUUUCUUCGGGAACAAUCCUCCGGGAAGGACUUUUUUGAAUCAUACGAGGAAUAACUCGUCCUCUCUCGUUCGUCAUGUCGAGAAGUUGCAAGCUCUAGGCUGUCGCGUCUUGAAUUCCUUGACGAAUAGGAAUCCCGAUAAGAAUCUCUUAGCGAGUAGUCUUUGGACGCGUAUCGCCGCAAUGAUCUCGACUCCAUUUCUCGAUUUGGUAGAUUUUGUUUUCGUCUGGCUCUUUCCUCCACUCGAUCCAAUCGAUCAUGCAAUUUAUCAAAAUUUGAUUUCACCAUUCUAAGUAUCUCUUGCUUCAAAUAUUGGAAAUCUGAUUCGGAAAAUUCUUGUGACAUGAUUUUUUUUUUGCUAAAAAAAUGAUUAAAAUAAAAUAGAAAGUAAAUACCUCACCACAAAAAUCUCACGUUUCACUCACAAAGAAAAUUGGAUAACACUCCACUCGUGUUUACACUUGUUUAAUGGCUUUUGCUCGCUCUAAUGUACUCACCACUCGUGCCUUUUUCCGCUCGUCUCACUCUCGUGAAUUCGUAUUUUGUUUCAAGAAGACUUAUUGCGACUUAGAGGGUCGGCUUCAAAUGGGUUACAAGGGAUAAAGUCGGGUGUAGGGUAGGCUAAACAAAGAAAAUAAAAAUCAAAGUAUGUGUGGCGUUUUGGGGGGGGUAAAUAAUGGUAGGAAGGGAAACUUGAUGAUCGGAGUAAAUAAGAGAAGAAAAUAAAAACUCGCAAGACUUUUCACUUUUUUUUAAACUUGAUUUUUUUUGCUCACCUUUUUUUUUCUUUUCUUUUUUUUGCUCGAUUUUUUUUCACUUUUUUUUUGAAUUUUUUUUUUCAAUCAAUUUUUUUUUUCGAAUUUUUUUUUGAUUUUUUUGUUACUUCAAUACAAUAUUAAGCUAAAUACAAGGGAAAAAAAUUAAAUUACAACUCAAAAUUUUUUUUUGAUUUUUUUUCACGUUUCAAACCUACUUGCGGCCUUAUUAUGAACGUCGGUGCUCCUCGUUUUAGUAGCUCUGAUACCAAAUGAUGUGAUCCGGCCGGGGUUAAUUGAGUUGUUUCACGUAAUUGCCCGAUCGUCGACGAGGAAUAGUUGAGUUAUCGAAAAUAGGAUGAAAUAAGGCUAAAGAUGCGGAAGCUUUCAAAUGGUUUUAAAGGUUGGCUAAGGUGAUGGUAAAUUUAUAAGGGUAGUAGGCUCGAUUUAAGGAUAAAAAUAAGAAAAAUGGAAGUUGAUAAAUGAAGGCUCGAUUUUGUAAAAAGAUAUUAUAGUUGGGUAAAAUCUAGGGUAUUCGGUGGAAUGGAUAAAUGAGCUUAAACACCAGAAACGAUUCAACACUAAAAAGUGUCACCCCGAUUUCUAUUCGGUUCAAGGUGGGAUUACAGAAUUGUGGAAAGGUUGAACGCCACACCAAAGCAAGGUGAUAAGUUCAAAAGAGAACGAUAGACGCCACUAGCACGCUAGAUAAGUCAGAUCGAAACUCGUACGAAUUUAGAGAGGAGAAAACUCACUCUUUGAACAAAGUUCAUUCAAAUGAUCAAAAGUCAAAAGUCCUUUACAAAUGAAAUUAAUCAACUAUUUAUAGCCAAAGCUUAGGCUAGCUGAAUAGUCAAUAUCUAACUUAAAAACUAAGUAAAUAAAUAAAUAAAAAAAUAAAAAUCAGUAAACUACCAUAGCAAGGUUCGGCUGAAUGAAAUUAAGGCUGGAAAUUAAAGCUCCUAGUUGUUGCCACAUGCAUGCACAUCUUGCUUCAAAAUACAUGCAUAGCCGAAUUCAUGCUCUUCAUUAAAUGUGUUCAUUGGAUCAACAAAUGCAUGUCCAGCAGCCUCCUUAAUUCAAUCUUCAAAAUACAUGCAUGAUUGAAUGCAUGUUCUACUCGGGAAAAUGGAAUGGGCGGCCAGAUUUAAUGUGAACAGUCAAGUUCUUUGUCUCCACGAAAAGGUGCUUGGAGAAUAGCAAUCAGCAGCCUAAAUUCAUCUUGAAUACAACUUCACAUUCAUGUAUCCUUUGCUGUGCACGAAAAAGGUGUUUAGAAAAGAACUAAGUCAACAGUUCAUUUAGUGCCGUUCUUUGCAUGGAGAGAAAAAUGCAACAGCAACUUAAAUGUUGUCCCAUGUCAAGAAAACAUAUUAAAUUUGGUAGCUUGAAAAGGUGCAGCAGCAACCUUCUCUUUAAUGCCGUCCAUGACUUGUACCUGCAUGAAUUGGUUCAACAAAUUAAUUCCAUUUUGGACUCAUUAAAUUCGGCAGAAAGAAAUUAAUCCUGCAAAAUUAAAUGCUCUUUAAAUUUCGGCUGGACAAAAAUUCAAGAAACAUUAAAAUUCUGCAGCAGCAAGACGCAUUAAAUUAAAGAAGUAAAACACAUUAAUUAACAUUUAGACACAUUUAUUUAAGUUAAGACACAAUUAAUUCAGCUGGACAAAUUAAAUAGCAGCAGCUAAUUAAACCAAUGUCUAAUUUUGGCUGGACAUAUUAAAUAUCAGUAGCUAAUAAAUUUGUCCAAGACUUAACAUAUUAAAAUUAGCUAAUAACUAUGUAUGAACUAAGACACAUUUAAACUCAAUUAAUAUGUCCAGAAUUUGACUCAUUAAAAUGCAAGUUAAUUUAUGUUGAGCUGAACUUAAUUAAAUUAACUAACUUAUUUAAUUAACUAAGUUUAUUCCAGCAAAAUAAAAUGCAAACUUAAUUAAAUAAAUUGCAUUCUAGCUAAAUGAGCUAGAAUCCACCCGAAUUGAACUGGGACGAGCUUGUGAAAAUGACGAGCCUCGCUUGUGGGAAGAGACUAAGGAUGUUUCCAGGGCGGGGUCGUAUCACUAUUUGAUAGUGAUAAGUUCGGGAUAGUGAAGGACAGGGUUGACGCCACUAGGCUUCCUAGAUAAGCCAACGAAGUCCUCAACGAAAUAUGAGAGAAAGAAAUCUCACAAAUUCCAUGAAAGUUUAACAGAGUUUCAUUAAGUGAAAAGUCUAACCUCUUACAAAUGAAAUAACAUAUAUUUAUAGCCUAAAUAAAAGUAGCUGAAUGGACAAGCUUAGAAGCUAAGAAAUUCGGCCAUAAACACCUAGAUAAUUCUAGAAGAAAAAUCAUGAAUAUCCAUGAAUGUGCAUGAUGUCAGCACGCCCGGGGCAUCUUCGAAUGCAAACCAAGAUCUAAACGAGCUGCCUAAAGGACCUAUAACUCAAGCUCAUGCUAAACAUUUCCUAGAAGCUAUUUUAGCUUCUAAUGCAAAACCUUGGUUCGAAAUAAGGGCCAAUGCUCACAAAAUCAGCUUGAAGCAACUAUCCAAAGGACCCAUGCAUUGUUGGCUAGCUGAUCCUAGCUCAUUUCCAGCUCCUCGAGCUCCGUCCAGCUCAACUCAGCUCAUUUAAGCUCGUUUCAGCUCAACCGAGCUUACUUUCAGCUCUUUCUUUCUUCCUUUUAAUAAACUAAGUCUUAAUUUAGUUUAUAAUUAAGUUUGCUACAGCUCAUGCCGAAACCCCUAGCUCAAUUUCAACUCAUUAAGUGUUUUGACUAUUUUUGAGCUAGCCGAAUUUACUUUAUUAGUUGACUUAUAAUUAUUAUGUUUGAAUUUAGUUAAUUUCAUUAAAUUGUUUAAUUAUUAAUUAUGAUUUUUAUGAACAGUUAUAUUUUAAUUAAUUGUGUGUUAAUUCAUGUAGGUUAGCCGAAUGUGGAAUUCAUGAAGAGAUGCAUGAACGAGAAAGUUCAAUGAAUGGGAAGAUUCAUGCACGGCCUGGUCCAAUGCUUGAGGGAAUUAAGUUCAUAUACAUGGGAGGUUAAUUACAUGCAUGUGGAUUAAGAAGAUACAUUCACUUUGGACGGCACACAUGCAUGAAUGAAGGCAUUUAUUGCAUGUUCAUGUACGGCCAGAUUCAAGCUCCCUUCUAGUUCAUGCAUGGCCGAAUGUAUGUGGGUGAAAUACAUGAAUUGUUUGCUGUCCAAUUGACUUCCCUAGGUGUCUAUUCGGCCAAGAGACACUUUUUGAAUGAUUCAUUUAUCCCAUGGCCGAAUUUAGGCAAGCUAUUGAGUUCCCAAGACAUCACAUUCAUCCAAGAUGCUUUGCUUACACAUGAAGCUGUCCAAUGGAGUUCCCAUCAGCCGAAUUUAGUCCUAGCUAAUUAAAAACUUGUUCCAGAUUAUUCUAGUGCAUUCAUAGCUGAAUUUAUUUAGUCUUUAAAGCUACUAGCUUGUCCAUUCGGCUACUACUUGUUAGCCUAUAAAUAGUUUGCACAUUUCAUUGUAAAGGGGCUUUUUGCCAACUUUGUUAAUGAACAUUUGUUCUUGUGAGGUUGCUUCCUCUCAUAUCUCGUACAAGUUUCGAAAGACUUAUCUGGCUUGUACUAGUGGCGUCAAUCGUCUUGUUUGAACUUACAACCAAUCUUGGUGUGGCGUUCACCUAUCCAUCUAUCCAUCUUUUCACCUUAACAAUAUAGGAACCGGGGUGACACUUCUUAUUGUUGAAUCAUUCCUGACGUUAAGUUCGUUUUCCAUUCCCACCCUUCGAAUUAUUUUCUUGUUAUUCCAAAUCGAGCCAUUUAACCAUCAUCCAUCUUUGCUACUAAAUCUAACCUAUUACUAUAUUCACCCUACUUUGAAACCUUCCGCUUACCCGUAUCUUUUCAUUCACUUCUAGUUCUAAAACCCGAAGCACGAACGACUCUCUCGAACGAUGAUCGGGCAACUAAGUGAAUUCGACUCAUCAUCCCCAGCUGGAUCACAUCAUUUGGUAUCAGAGCUUG
RNAcentral lists this long non-coding RNA (42111 nucleotides) under Gossypium barbadense (sea-island cotton). RNAcentral describes it as "long non-coding RNA (GBAR_LNC022912)". Lineage: Eukaryota; Viridiplantae; Streptophyta; Magnoliopsida; Malvales; Malvaceae. The record is from RNAcentral.